CAUUAGAUGACUGAAAGUAAGUACUGGUCUCUUAAACCAUUUAAUAGUAACGUAACGCCUACUUCUAAUGA
This 71-nucleotide transfer RNA is filed under the name Neochauliodes parasparsus. RNAcentral describes it as "tRNA-Lys". The record is from RNAcentral. Lineage: Eukaryota; Metazoa; Arthropoda; Insecta; Megaloptera; Corydalidae.